RNAcentral lists this ribosomal RNA (253 nucleotides) under uncultured bacterium. RNAcentral's name for it is "partial 16S ribosomal RNA". It matches the Rfam family "Bacterial small subunit ribosomal RNA", at positions 524 to 776 of the family's 1533-position model. The record is from RNAcentral.
UACGUAGGGGGCAAGCGUUGUCCGGAAUGAUUGGGCGUAAAGGGCGUGCAGGCGGUUCGGCAAGUCUGAUGUGAAAGGUCCCGGCUCAACCGGGGAGGUGCAUUGGAAACUGUUGGACUUGAGUCCAGGAGAGGGGAGUGGAAUUCCACGUGUAGCGGUGAAAUGCGUAGAUAUGUGGAGGAACACCAGUGGCGAAGGCGGCUCCCUGGCCUGAGACUGACGCUGAGGCGCGAAAGCGUGGGGAGCGAACAGG